This 497-nucleotide ribosomal RNA is filed under the name uncultured bacterium. RNAcentral's name for it is "partial 16S ribosomal RNA". It matches the Rfam family "Bacterial small subunit ribosomal RNA", at positions 28 to 507 of the family's 1533-position model. The record is from RNAcentral.
GAUGAACGCUGGCGGCGUGCCUAAUACAUGCAAGUCGAGCGAACAGACGAGGAGCUUGCUUCUCUGACGUUAGCGGCGGACGGGUGAGUAACACGUGGAUAACCUACCUAUAAGACUGGGAUAACUUCGGGAAACCGGAGCUAAUACCGGAUAAUAUAUUGAACCGCAUGGUUCAAUAGUGAAAGACGGUUUUGCUGUCACUUAUAGAUGGAUCCGCGCCGCAUUAGCUAGUUGGUAAGGUAACGGCUUACCAAGGCAACGAUGCGUAGCCGACCUGAGAGGGUGAUCGGCCACACUGGAACUGAGACACGGCCCAGACUCCUACGGGAGGCCGCAGUAGGGAAUCUUACGCAAUGGGGGAAAGCCUGACGGAGCAACGCCGCGGGAGUGAUGAAGGUGUUCGGAUCGUAAAACUAUGUUAUUAGGGAAGAACAAAUGUGUAAGUAACUAUGCACGUCUUGACGGUACCUAAUCAGAAAGCCACGGCUAACUACGUG